GAGUUUGAUCCUGGCUCAGGACGAACGCUGGCGGCGCGCCUAACACAUGCAAGUCGAACGGAGCUGAGAGAAGCUUGCUUUUCUUAGCUUAGUGGCGAACGGGUGAGUAACGCGUGAGUAACCUGCCCUGGAGUGGGGGACAACAGUUGGAAACGGCUGCUAAUACCGCAUAAGCGCACAGAGCUGCAUGGCUCGGUGUGAAAAACUCCGGUGGUAUGGGAUGGGCCCGCGUCUGAUUAGGCAGUUGGCGGGGUAACGGCCCACCAAACCGACGAUCAGUAGCCGGCCUGAGAGGGCGACCGGCCACAUUGGGACUGAGACACGGCCCAAACUCCUACGGGAGGCAGCAGUGGGGAAUAUUGCACAAUGGGGGAAACCCUGAUGCAGCGACGCCGCGUGAGCGAAGAAGUAUUUCGGUAUGUAAAGCUCUAUCAGCAGGGAAGAUAAUGACGGUACCUGACUAAGAAGCCCCGGCUAACUACGUGCCAGCCGCCGCGGUAAUUC
Molecule: ribosomal RNA, 504 nt
Filed under: uncultured bacterium
Lineage: Bacteria
Description: bacterial SSU rRNA
Rfam family: Bacterial small subunit ribosomal RNA
Source: RNAcentral